This 253-nucleotide ribosomal RNA is filed under the name uncultured bacterium. Its description in RNAcentral is "partial 16S ribosomal RNA". It matches the Rfam family "Bacterial small subunit ribosomal RNA", at positions 524 to 776 of the family's 1533-position model. The record is from RNAcentral.
GACGUAGGGUGCAAGCGUUAUCCGGAUUUACUGGGCGUAAAGCGUGCGCAGGCGGUUAUGUAAGACAGAUGUGAAAUGCCCGGGCUUAACCUGGGAACUGCAUUUGUGACUGCAUGGCUAGAGUUUGGCAGAGGGGGGUAGAAUUCCACGUGUAGCAGUGAAAUGCGUAGAUAUGUGGAGGAACACCGAUGGCGAAGGCAGCCCCCUGGGUCAAGACUGACGCUCAUGCACGAAAGCGUGGGGAGCAAACAGG